AUUGAACGCUGGCGGAAUGCUUUACACAUGCAAGUCGAACGGCAGCACGGACUUCGGUCUGGUGGCGAGUGGCGAACGGGUGAGUAAUGUAUCGGAACGUGCCCAGUCGUGGGGGAUCACGUAGUGAAAAUUACGCUAAUACCGCAUACGAUCUAUGGAUGAAAGCGGGGGAUCGCAAGACCUCGCGCGAUUGGAGCGGACGAUAUCAGAUUAGGUAGUUGGUGGGGUAAAGGCCCACCAAGCCAACGAUCUGUAGCUGGUCUGAGAGGACGACCAGCCACACUGGAACUGAGACACGGUCCAGACUCCUACGGGAGGCAGCAGUGGGGAAUUUUGGACAAUGGGCGAAAGCCUGAUCCAGCCAUUCCGCGUGCAGGAUGAAGGCCCUCGGGUUGUAAACUGCUUUUGUACAGAACGAAAAGGUUUCUACUAAUACUAGGAACUCAUGACGGUACUGUAAGAAUAAGCACCGGCUAACUACGUGCCAGCCGCCGCGGUAA
This 500-nucleotide ribosomal RNA is filed under the name uncultured bacterium. Its description in RNAcentral is "partial 16S ribosomal RNA". It matches the Rfam family "Bacterial small subunit ribosomal RNA", at positions 30 to 523 of the family's 1533-position model. The record is from RNAcentral.